RNAcentral lists this ribosomal RNA (409 nucleotides) under Fusobacteriota bacterium. Its description in RNAcentral is "Fusobacteria bacterium partial 16S ribosomal RNA". It matches the Rfam family "Bacterial small subunit ribosomal RNA", at positions 355 to 776 of the family's 1533-position model. Lineage: Bacteria; Fusobacteriati; Fusobacteriota. The record is from RNAcentral.
UGGGGAAUAUUGCACAAUGGAGGGAACUCUGAUGCAGCAACGCCGCGUGCGGGAUGACGGCCUUCGGGUUGUAAACCGCUUUCAGCCAUGACGAAGCUUUUGUGACGGUAGUGGUAGAAGAAGCACCGGCUAACUACGUGCCAGCAGCCGCGGUGAUACGCAGGGUGCGAGAGUUUUCAGGAAUUAUUGGGCGUAAAGAGCUUGUAGGCGGUUUGUAGCGUCGAUAGUGUAAUCACGCAGCUUAACUGUGUGCCUGCGGUCGAUACGGGCUGACUAGAGGAGGGUAGGGGAGAAUGGAAUUCCCGGUGGAGCGGUGGAAUGCGCAGAUAUCGGGAGGAACACCAGUGGCGAAGGCGGUUCUCUGGACCUUACCUGACGCUAAGAAGCGAAAGCGUGGGUAGCAAACAUG